Lycium barbarum (goji berry) is the source of this 887-nucleotide long non-coding RNA. RefSeq lists it as uncharacterized. Lineage: Eukaryota; Viridiplantae; Streptophyta; Magnoliopsida; Solanales; Solanaceae. The record is from RefSeq and is a predicted model, not a curated record. The transcript is spliced from 3 exons.
AUUCUCCUCUACUAGAUAUAUUUAAAUUCGUCCAGGUCAUAGUUAAAAUGUGAGAUGAAGAAUAUCAAAUUAAUUAAGAUUAUUGGAUAAAUAUUACGUGGACAUAAUCCAGAUAUUUCAUGGACAACUCGGCAGCAAUUUAAUUAUAUACAUGCCACAUAAGGGGUGCUGUGGUGUAAAGGUGAGGGAAUGAUUUACACGUGUAGGGCAAAAGGUUGACAUUUAUGUUCCUACAUUUUAUUAAGUAAUGACAACUUAUAUGUGUGUGGACCCCACUUAAUUUAAGAAGGAACAUUGCUAUGAAUGUGUCAUCCUUGUUGAAUAAGAAUUUUAGGAAAGAAAAGGCAGCAACCUUUCAACAAAUACGUUAGUAAUAGGAAGCCAUCUCUUUUGAAUAGUUCACACGCUAGAAAUGAAAAUGGAGCAGCAACUUCUUAAUAUUUUUGGACAAUUUCUAAAAGAAGAAAGUGAGCAGGCAGCAACAUAUUUCCCUUCAUGGAAGAUCAGCAACGUGCAUAAGAUUGGGAAGCUCGGGAUCUGAUUUGUGGUUAGCUUGGAGCGGAUAAGGUACAGACGACAGGUUUGCUGAUCCGCCCGCUUAGGACUUUAUUCUGCUAUUUUGGAGCACUCCUUUAUCCAGAGCCUAUAUUUUGGUACAGUCUUUUGCUAUUGUAUAUAUGUACGCUAUUCAGGGGUACGACGGGGCCCUGUCCCGUCUUAUGGUUCUGUUAUGAUCUGUAGAGGUCUGUAGACAUACUUGUGUGGGUUCUGUAUAUGUUUUGGGUUGUUAUGAUCGGUGAUGGCCUUAUCGGCCUCUACGUGCAAAAUCUGUUCAUCUGUGAUAUUUAGUAGCGCCAACUAACCUUUAUAUUAAUAUAUUUUGAUAA